UAUGUGUGUAAGAUGUGAUAAUGUAAAGGAAAAUGAUGAUUGUACUUUACUAUUAGUGUCGUCCAAAUACUGGUGCCAGAAGACUCGGUAAGGCCAGAGACGCAAACGUUAAUCGUCUUAAAAAGGCGUAAAGGGUAUGUAGGCUGCUUUAAAUUUCCUUAUUAAUAAUAAUGAACUAAAAAGUAUUAAUAGUAUAAAUUAAAGCUAGAAUCAAAAAGAGGUUAUUUAAAUUAUACUUGGAGUAAGGGUAAAAUCUGUAGAUACUAAGUAGAAUACUAAUAGCGAAAGCAUUUUUCCACUAAUGAUUGACGCUGAGAUACGAAGGUAAGGAUAGGAAACAGGAUUAGAGACCCAGGUACCCCUUACUGUCAACGAUGAAUGGUAGUUAUUAUUUUGAAGAAUUAAUAGUAACAAUGUUAACACGUUAACCAUUCCGCCU
RNAcentral lists this ribosomal RNA (439 nucleotides) under Resinicium meridionale. RNAcentral describes it as "SSU rRNA". It matches the Rfam family "Bacterial small subunit ribosomal RNA", at positions 418 to 874 of the family's 1533-position model. Lineage: Eukaryota; Fungi; Basidiomycota; Agaricomycetes; Hymenochaetales. The record is from RNAcentral.